Molecule: unclassified non-coding RNA, 454 nt
Filed under: Hevea brasiliensis (rubber tree)
Lineage: Eukaryota; Viridiplantae; Streptophyta; Magnoliopsida; Malpighiales; Euphorbiaceae
Source: RNAcentral
CCCACUCUUUCUUUCCCUUUUCUCUAUGCUCUAACGGUAAACUCGAAACACAGAGAGAGAGAAAGAGGGAGUGAAGGACAAAACAAACACAAGGUCCCUGCAAUCAUGAAGGCUGUGGUGGCUCUAUUUGUUUUCUCUUUCGGGUUUUUCUUGGCCUCUGUUACGGCUGACCCUGACUUGCUUCAAGAUGUCUGUGUUGCUGAUCUUUCCUCUGCAGUGAAAGUUAAUGGCUUCGCCUGCAAAGAGAAUAUAACAGCAGAUGACUUCUUCUUCGCUGGGCUAGCCAAGCCAGGGCUAACCAACAACACCCUAGGCUCUCUGGUCACUGCAGCCAAUGUUCAGAAAAUCCCAGGCCUUAACACCCUUGGAGUCUCCUUGUCCCGCAUUGACUACGCCCCCGGCGGUCUUAAUCCUCCACACACCCACCCACGAGCCACCGAGAUAGUCUUUGUCC